Alnus glutinosa is the source of this 1171-nucleotide long non-coding RNA. RefSeq lists it as uncharacterized. The record is from RefSeq and is a predicted model, not a curated record. The transcript is spliced from 7 exons. Lineage: Eukaryota; Viridiplantae; Streptophyta; Magnoliopsida; Fagales; Betulaceae.
UCUCUAUUGAUCUUCCCGCUCUGAUGUCCCGGUAUGCACCUCCCUCUCUUUAUAUACUGAGCACUGAGAAGUUCACCAUCACAAAGAAAAUCCUCUCCACUCUUUUUCCCUCUCUUCCUUCCUAUUUGGUUUUUCUUCUCUCCCAGCCCAGAGCUUUCAUAGUAAUCUCGUCAAAGAAGCUUUUUGGCCAAAUUCUGCUGAGUUUCCUCAAAAUCACCUCUGCAUCAAGCUCCUUAGUGCUACAGUAAAUUUGGUGAUUGCCAGAUCUGCUCGUCUGGUCUGCGGCGCCAAGCUUCUCUCGUCUCUUCAUAUUUUAUAUUUCUUUAUUCAGCCUUCCCGCGUUCUCGAUCUUCUGAAGCCAAGAAAAGGAUCUGUUCCAAGCUAAUCGAAGAGGCUUGCGUAGCCUGGUUUCUUGGCAGACUCUCGUUACAGCUUCUCCAUGAGAAUCAUCUCUUUGGCCCCUCUUCUUCUACGGAGUAAUCGUAGUGCAACUCACUUCUCUGUUGCUUACCUUUGCAUGAAAUUUGGGAAAAUGUUUUAAUUUCCAUGUCAGGAAUGGGUGGUUUUGGGAAAAACAAUAUACAGAUAUGUUGGGGAUGUGCACUUUCACUUUGCCGAUCAUGAGAAAUUAAGGUCUCAUGUUCCCAGCCUUUGUGCCAAAAUUCUUGAUGCAAUUGUUCGUGAUUUGAACAAUGCUUAUAGCCUUCACAUGGACUGUGGGAUAUUUUUACAGAAGACUUCAGCGAGUUUCCUAUUGGUUAUGAAGGCGGUGGCGGUAACAGCAGCGGUGCAAGUAGUAGUGCACCGAUUAGCUAUGCUAACGUAAUAAAGGGAACACUCUUUAACUUGAGAAUGAGGUCAUCUUCCCACAGGAAAUGAAAUUUGAAGAUUAAAAGGGAGUUAGUAGUGAGGCAGCUCUGUACGUAGAAUAUGACUCUCUUGAUUUUAUAACAACAUCAUAUCUAUAGUUAUACAAUUUGCUGAUUUUUGUUUUAAUUGGGAGGAAUAUAUUUGCUCAUAAUUAAUGAUUUACACGUGGCCGUGUGUGUGUGAGAUGUUGGUGAUGAAAUAGUACUUUACACACUUUAAAUGUUAUUGUUGUUUCAUCAUCUUGUUGAAUAAAGAAUAUGUACUUUACACACUUUAAGCUAUUAAUGUUUAAAUGGUAUUA